Molecule: transfer RNA, 72 nt
Filed under: Neotoma lepida (desert woodrat)
Lineage: Eukaryota; Metazoa; Chordata; Mammalia; Rodentia; Cricetidae
Rfam family: tRNA
About the family: Transfer RNA (tRNA) molecules are approximately 80 nucleotides in length. Their secondary structure includes four short double-helical elements and three loops (D, anti-codon, and T loops).
Source: Rfam by way of RNAcentral
GGGGUUGUGGCUCAGUUGGUAGAGUGCUUGCCCAGCAUGCAGGAAGCCCUGGGUUCAAUCCCCAGCAUUCUA